AUGUGCGGUAUUAUGAUGAAAACGCUCGAGCUUGGUCUUUGCUCAAUCUGGAAGAAAUAUUAUGAAGAGGAACAUGUUGUAGUAUUUGUUGUAGAUGCAUCUUGUCCCUCACGAUUUGAAGAUUCAAAGUCUUCACUUGAGUUACUUUGUUUAAUGUUGAGAGGAAAGAUCAAGACACGAGGAUUAUCAUCAGUUCUUCUAUAA
Non-coding RNA from Vicia faba (fava bean), 204 nucleotides. NCBI's taxonomy places the organism in Eukaryota, Viridiplantae, Streptophyta, Magnoliopsida, Fabales, Fabaceae. The record is from the annotation of a GenBank genome assembly.